This 122-nucleotide ribosomal RNA is filed under the name Xylobium pallidiflorum. Its description in RNAcentral is "partial 18S ribosomal RNA". It matches the Rfam family "Eukaryotic small subunit ribosomal RNA". The record is from RNAcentral. Lineage: Eukaryota; Viridiplantae; Streptophyta; Magnoliopsida; Asparagales; Orchidaceae.
GAUCGCUGCGACGCGGGCGGUUCGCCGCCCGCGGMUCGGCGAGAAUCCAUUGAACCUUAUCAUUUAGAGGAAGGAGAAGUCGUAACAAGGUUUCCGUAGGUGAACCUGCGGAAGGAUCAUUG